This 45-nucleotide transfer RNA is filed under the name Campylotropis delavayi. Its description in RNAcentral is "partial tRNA-Gln". The record is from RNAcentral. Lineage: Eukaryota; Viridiplantae; Streptophyta; Magnoliopsida; Fabales; Fabaceae.
GGUAAGGCAACGGGUUUUGGUCCCGCUAAUCGGAGGUUCGAAUCC